GACGAACGCUGGCGGCGUGCCUAAUACAUGCAAGUAGAACGCACAGUUUAUACCGUAGCUUGCUACACCAUAGACUGUGAGUUGCGAACGGGUGAGUAACGCGUAGGUAACCUGCCUGGUAGCGGGGGAUAACUAUUGGAAACGAUAGCUAAUACCGCAUAAUAUUGAUUAUUGCAUGAUAAUUGAUUGAAAGAUGCUAUUGCAUCACUACCAGAUGGACCUGCGUUGUAUUAGCUAGUAGGUGAGGUAACGGCUCACCUAGGCGACGAUACAUAGCCGACCUGAGAGGGUGAUCGGCCACACUGGGACUGAGACACGGCCCAGACUCCUACGGGAGGCAGCAGUAGGGAAUCUUCGGCAAUAGACGAAAGUCUGACCGAGCAACGCCGCGUGAGUGAAGUAGGUUUUCGGAUCGUAAAGCUCUGUUGUAAGAGAAGAACGGGUGUGAGAGUGGAAAGUUCACACUGUGACGGUAUCUUACCAGAAAGGGACGGCUAACUACGUG
This 505-nucleotide ribosomal RNA is filed under the name uncultured bacterium. RNAcentral's name for it is "partial 16S ribosomal RNA". It matches the Rfam family "Bacterial small subunit ribosomal RNA", at positions 28 to 507 of the family's 1533-position model. The record is from RNAcentral.